RNAcentral lists this ribosomal RNA (253 nucleotides) under uncultured bacterium. Its description in RNAcentral is "partial 16S ribosomal RNA". It matches the Rfam family "Bacterial small subunit ribosomal RNA", at positions 524 to 776 of the family's 1533-position model. The record is from RNAcentral.
UACAGAGGAGCCAAGCGUUGUCCGGAUUGACUGGGCGUAAAGCGCACGCAGGCGGAUGCGCGCGUGGGGUGUGAAAUCUGGCCGCUUAACGGCCAGGCGCCAUCCCAUACGGCGCGUCUGGAGUGAUGUAGAGGUCGGUGGAAUUGCCGGUGUAGUGGUGAAAUGCGUAGAGAUCGGCAGGAACACCCAGGGGGAAACCAGCCGACUGGGCAUCUACUGACGCUGAGGUGCGAGAACGUGGGGAGCGAACCGG